AGCCCCGAGGUGUUUUCAUAUCAGGUUGCAAACCUGAAGAAGCAGGCUAAAUACUUGCCGGGGCUU
Molecule: transfer RNA, 66 nt
Filed under: Girardinus metallicus (metallic livebearer)
Lineage: Eukaryota; Metazoa; Chordata; Actinopteri; Cyprinodontiformes; Poeciliidae
Description: tRNA-Cys
Source: RNAcentral